CCCUUAGAUGUUCUGGGCUGCACGCGCGCUACACUGAAGCGUUCAACGAGUAUUUCACCUUGCCCGGGAGGGUUGGGUAAUCUUUUUAAAAUGCAUCGUGAUGGGGAUAGAUUAUUGCAAUUAUUAAUCUUCAACGAGGAAUUCCUAGUAAGCGCGAGUCAUCAGCUCGUGCUGAUUACGUCCCUGCCCUUUGUACACACCGCCCGUCGCUCCUACCGAUUGAGUGCUCAGGUGAAUAAUUCGGACUGCAGCAAUGUUUGGAUCCCGAACGUUGCAGCGGAAAGUUUAGUGAACCUUAUCACUUAGAGGAAGGAGAAGUCGUAACA
This 326-nucleotide ribosomal RNA is filed under the name uncultured eukaryote. Its description in RNAcentral is "partial 18S ribosomal RNA". It matches the Rfam family "Eukaryotic small subunit ribosomal RNA", at positions 1470 to 1796 of the family's 1831-position model. The record is from RNAcentral.